AAGUGGUACGCGAGCUGGGUUUAGAACGUCGUGAGACAGUUCGGUCCCUAUCUGCCGUGGGCGCUGGAGAACUGAGGGGGGCUGCUCCUAGUACGAGAGGACCGGAGUGGACGCAUCACUGGUGUUCGGGUUGUCAUGCCAAUGGCACUGCCCGGUAGCUAAAUGCGGAAGAGAUAAGUGCUGAAAGCAUCUAAGCACGAAACUUGCCCCGAGAUGAGUUCUCCCUGAGACUUAAAGUCUCCUGAAGGAACGUUGAAGACGACGACGUUGAUAGGCCGGGUGUGUAAGCGCAGCGAUGCGUUGAGCUAACCGGUACUAAUGAACCGUGAGGCUUAACCUUACAACGCCGAAG
This 352-nucleotide ribosomal RNA is filed under the name Salmonella enterica subsp. enterica serovar Infantis. Its description in RNAcentral is "partial 23S ribosomal RNA". It matches the Rfam family "Bacterial large subunit ribosomal RNA", at positions 2591 to 2925 of the family's 2925-position model. The record is from RNAcentral. Lineage: Bacteria; Pseudomonadati; Pseudomonadota; Gammaproteobacteria; Enterobacterales; Enterobacteriaceae.